GGAGAGAUGGCUGAGCUGGUCUAAGGCGCACGACUGGAAAUCGUGUGUACGUGAUGAGCGUACCGAGGGUUCGAAUCCCUCUCUCUCCGCCA
Molecule: transfer RNA, 92 nt
Filed under: Acetivibrio clariflavus
Lineage: Bacteria; Bacillati; Bacillota; Clostridia; Acetivibrionales; Acetivibrionaceae
Also listed under: 1 other name
Description: tRNA-Ser
Rfam family: tRNA
About the family: Transfer RNA (tRNA) molecules are approximately 80 nucleotides in length. Their secondary structure includes four short double-helical elements and three loops (D, anti-codon, and T loops).
Source: RNAcentral